RNAcentral lists this ribosomal RNA (761 nucleotides) under uncultured bacterium. RNAcentral describes it as "bacterial SSU rRNA". It matches the Rfam family "Bacterial small subunit ribosomal RNA", at positions 79 to 818 of the family's 1533-position model. The record is from RNAcentral.
CUUGCACUCACCGAUAAAAAGUUGAGUGGCGAACGGGUGAGUAACACGUGGGCAACCUGCCCAAAAGAGGGGGAUAACACUUGGAAACAGGUGCUAAUACCGCAUAACCAUAGUUACCGCAUGGUAACUAUGUAAAAGGUGGCUAUGCUACCGCUUUUGGAUGGGCCCGCGACGCAUUAGCUAGUUGGUGGGGUAAAGGCUUACCAAGGCAAUGAUGCGUAGCCGAACUGAGAGGUUGAUCGGCCACAUUGGGACUGAGACACGGCCCAAACUCCUACGGGAGGCAGCAGUAGGGAAUCUUCCACAAUGGGCGAAAGCCUGAUGGAGCAACGCCGCGUGGGUGAAGAAGGUCUUCGGAUCGUAAAACCCUGUUGUUAGAGAAGAAAGUGCGUGAGAGUAACUGUUCACGUUUCGACGGUAUCUAACCAGAAAGCCACGGCUAACUACGUGCCAGCAGCCGCGGUAAUACGUAGGUGGCAAGCGUUAUCCGGAUUUAUUGGGCGUAAAGAGAACGCAGGCGGUCUUUUAAGUCUGAUGUGAAAGCCUUCGGCUUAACCGGAGUAGUGCAUUGGAAACUGGGAGACUUGAGUGCAGAAGAGGAGAGUGGAACUCCAUGUGUAGCGGUGAAAUGCGUAGAUAUAUGGAAGAACACCAGUGGCGAAAGCGGCUCUCUGGUCUGUAACUGACGCUGAGGUUCGAAAGCGUGNGUAGCAAACAGGAUUAGAUACCCUGGUAGUCCACGCCGUAAACGANGAAUGCUA